GCAAGUAUAGUUUCAACCAAAACAUUAGGCUGUGGAUCCUAGAAAUAGAAGUUAAACUCUUCUUACCUGCC
This 71-nucleotide transfer RNA is filed under the name Gallicrex cinerea (watercock). RNAcentral's name for it is "tRNA-His". It matches the Rfam family "tRNA". Rfam says of the family: Transfer RNA (tRNA) molecules are approximately 80 nucleotides in length. Their secondary structure includes four short double-helical elements and three loops (D, anti-codon, and T loops). Further hydrogen bonds mediate the characteristic L-shaped molecular structure. tRNAs have two regions of fundamental functional importance: the anti-codon, which is responsible for specific mRNA codon recognition, and the 3' end, to which the tRNAs corresponding amino acid is attached (by aminoacyl-tRNA synthetases). tRNAs cope with the degeneracy of the genetic code in two manners: having more than one tRNA (with a specific anti-codon) for a particular amino acid; and 'wobble' base-pairing, i.e. permitting non-standard base-pairing at the 3rd anti-codon position. Lineage: Eukaryota; Metazoa; Chordata; Aves; Gruiformes; Rallidae. The record is from RNAcentral.